AGGGUUGUGGCUCAGUGGUAGAGCACUUGCCUAGCAUGCUUGAGGCACUGGGUUCAAUCCCCAGCACCACAU
This 72-nucleotide transfer RNA is filed under the name Urocitellus parryii (Arctic ground squirrel). RNAcentral describes it as "Spermophilus parryii (Arctic ground squirrel) tRNA". It matches the Rfam family "tRNA". Rfam says of the family: Transfer RNA (tRNA) molecules are approximately 80 nucleotides in length. Their secondary structure includes four short double-helical elements and three loops (D, anti-codon, and T loops). Further hydrogen bonds mediate the characteristic L-shaped molecular structure. tRNAs have two regions of fundamental functional importance: the anti-codon, which is responsible for specific mRNA codon recognition, and the 3' end, to which the tRNAs corresponding amino acid is attached (by aminoacyl-tRNA synthetases). tRNAs cope with the degeneracy of the genetic code in two manners: having more than one tRNA (with a specific anti-codon) for a particular amino acid; and 'wobble' base-pairing, i.e. permitting non-standard base-pairing at the 3rd anti-codon position. RNAcentral also lists the same sequence under 2 other names. The record is from Rfam by way of RNAcentral. Lineage: Eukaryota; Metazoa; Chordata; Mammalia; Rodentia; Sciuridae.